GGGCGUAUAGCUCAGCGGUAGAGCACUGGUUUUACACACCAGCGGUCCGCGGUUCGAUCCCGCGUGCGCCCA
Molecule: transfer RNA, 72 nt
Filed under: Nocardia brasiliensis
Lineage: Bacteria; Bacillati; Actinomycetota; Actinomycetes; Mycobacteriales; Nocardiaceae
Also listed under: 12 other names
Description: tRNA-Val
Rfam family: tRNA
About the family: Transfer RNA (tRNA) molecules are approximately 80 nucleotides in length. Their secondary structure includes four short double-helical elements and three loops (D, anti-codon, and T loops). Further hydrogen bonds mediate the characteristic L-shaped molecular structure. tRNAs have two regions of fundamental functional importance: the anti-codon, which is responsible for specific mRNA codon recognition, and the 3' end, to which the tRNAs corresponding amino acid is attached (by aminoacyl-tRNA synthetases). tRNAs cope with the degeneracy of the genetic code in two manners: having more than one tRNA (with a specific anti-codon) for a particular amino acid; and 'wobble' base-pairing, i.e. permitting non-standard base-pairing at the 3rd anti-codon position.
Source: RNAcentral